CCUACGGGGGAAAAAUUUAUUGCUAUUAGAUGAGCCUAUAUUAGAUUAGUUAGUUGGUGAGGUAAAGGCUUACCAAGACAAUGAUCUAUAGCUGAUCUGAGAGGAUGAUCAGCCACACUGGAACUGAGAUACGGUCCAGACUCCUACGGGAGGCAGCAGUGGGGAAUAUUGGACAAUGGGCGAAAGCCUGAUCCAGCCAUGCCGCAUGAGUGAAGAAGGCCUUCGGGUUGUAAAGCUCUUUUAGUGAGGAAGAUAAUGACGGUACUCACAGAAGAAGUCCUGGCUAACUCCGUGCCAGCAGCCGCGGUAAUACGGAGAGGGCUAGCGUUAUUCGGAAUCAUUGGGCGUAAAGGGCGCGUAGGCGGGUUAGUAAGUUAAAAGUGAAAUCCCAAGGCUCAACCUUGGAACUGCUUUUAAAACUGCUAGUCUAGAGAUUGAAAGAGGAUAGAGGAAUUCCUAGUGUAGAGAUGAAAUUCGUAAAUAUUAGGAGGAACACCAGUGGCGAANGCGUCUAUCUGGUUCAAAUCUGACGCUGAGGCGCGAAGGCGUGGGGAGCAAACAGGAUUAGAUACCCUGGUAGUCACGCUGUAAACGAUGAAUGUUAAAUAUGGGAAGUUUACUUUCUGUAUUAUAGCUAACGCGUUAAACAUUCCGCCUGGGGACUACNGUCGCAAGAUUAAAACUCAAAGGAAUUGACGGGGACCCGCACAAGCGGUGGAGCAUGUGGUUUAAUUCGAUGCAACGCGAAAAA
RNAcentral lists this ribosomal RNA (751 nucleotides) under uncultured Wolbachia sp. RNAcentral's name for it is "bacterial SSU rRNA". It matches the Rfam family "Bacterial small subunit ribosomal RNA", at positions 193 to 968 of the family's 1533-position model. The record is from RNAcentral. Lineage: Bacteria; Pseudomonadati; Pseudomonadota; Alphaproteobacteria; Rickettsiales; Anaplasmataceae.